UUAACGUUCGGAACCGGAGCUAAUACCGGAUAAUAUAUUGAACCGCAUGGUUCAAUAGUGAAAGACGGUUUUGCUGUCACUUAUAGAUGGAUCCGCGCCGCAUUAGCUAGUUGGUAAGGUAACGGCUUACCAAGGCAACGAUGCGUAGCCGACCUGAGAGGGUGAUCGGCCACACUGGAACUGAGACACGGUCCAGACUCCUACGGGAGGCAGCAGCU
This 218-nucleotide ribosomal RNA is filed under the name uncultured Staphylococcus sp. RNAcentral describes it as "partial 16S ribosomal RNA". It matches the Rfam family "Bacterial small subunit ribosomal RNA", at positions 143 to 355 of the family's 1533-position model. The record is from RNAcentral. Lineage: Bacteria; Bacillati; Bacillota; Bacilli; Caryophanales; Staphylococcaceae.